GGGGAUGACGUCAAGUCAUCAUGGCCCUUACGACCAGGGCUACACACGUGCUACAAUGGCGCAUACAAAGAGAAGCGACCUCGCGAGAGCAAGCGGACCUCAUAAAGUGCGUCGUAGUCCGGAUUGGAGUCUGCAACUCGACUCCAUGAAGUCGGAAUCGCUAGUAAUCGUGGAUCAGAAUGCCACGGUGAAUACGUUCCCGGGCCUUGUACACACCGCCCGUCACACCAUGGGAGUGGGUUGCAAAAGAAGUAGGUAGCUUAACCUUCGGGAGGGCGCUUACCACUUUGUGAUUCAUGACUGGGGUGAAGUCGUAACAAGGUAACCGUAGGGGAACCUGCGGUUGGAUCACCUCCUUACCUUAAAGAAGC
Molecule: ribosomal RNA, 371 nt
Filed under: Escherichia coli
Lineage: Bacteria; Pseudomonadati; Pseudomonadota; Gammaproteobacteria; Enterobacterales; Enterobacteriaceae
Also listed under: 1 other name
Description: bacterial SSU rRNA
Rfam family: Bacterial small subunit ribosomal RNA
Source: RNAcentral